This 465-nucleotide ribosomal RNA is filed under the name uncultured bacterium. RNAcentral's name for it is "partial 16S ribosomal RNA". It matches the Rfam family "Bacterial small subunit ribosomal RNA", at positions 338 to 795 of the family's 1533-position model. The record is from RNAcentral.
CCUACGGGGGGCAGCAGUAGGGAAUUUUCGUCAAUGGGCGCAAGCCUGAACGAGCAAUGCCGCGUGAACGAGGAAGGUCUUCGGAUCGUAAAGUUCUGUUGAAGGGGAAAAAGAGCGGAGAGAGGAAAUGGUCUCCGAUUGAUAUUACCCUUCGAGGAAGUCACGGCUAACUACGUGCCAGCAGCCGCGGUAAUACGGAGGAUCCGAGCGUUAUCCGGAUUCAUUGGGUUUAAAGGGUGCGUAGGUUGUUUUAUACGUUAGCGGUGAAAUACCGAUGCUCAACAUCGGGGCUGCCGCUGAUACUGUAGGACUAGAGAUCGGAUGCAGCAGGCGGAAGGUGUAGUGUAGCGGUGAAAUGCAUAGAUAUUACACAGAACACCGAUUGCGAAGGCAGCUUGCUAGGCCGGAUCUGACACUGAUGCACGAAAGCGUGGGGAUCGAACAGGAUUAGAUACCCUUGUAGUC